Molecule: ribosomal RNA, 292 nt
Filed under: uncultured bacterium
Lineage: Bacteria
Description: partial 16S ribosomal RNA
Rfam family: Bacterial small subunit ribosomal RNA
Source: RNAcentral
GUGUCAGCAGCCGCGGUAAGACGAGGGAUCCUAGCGUUGUUCGGAAUCAUUGGGCGUAAAGCGGAUGUAGGUGGCUUUGUAAGUCAGGUGUGAAAGCCCCGGGCUCAACCCGGGAAGUGCAUUUGAUACUGCGAAGCUUGAGUGCUGGAGAGGCUACUAGAAUACCUGGUGUAGUGGUGAAAUACGUAGAUAUCAGGUGGAAUACCGGAGGCGAAGGCGGGUAGCCAGCCAGACACUGACACUCAGAUCCGAAAGUGUGGGGAUCAAACAGGAUUAGAUACCCUUGUAGUCC